AUUGAACGCUGGCGGCAUGCUUUACACAUGCAAGUCGAACGGUAACAGGCCGCCAUGUGCUGACGCGUGACUGACGGGUGGGUAAGUCAUCCGAACGUGCCCAGUCCUUGGGGUUGACUACUCGUAAGAGUAGCUAAUACCACAUACGAUCUAUGGAUGAGAGCGAGGGACCGUAAGGCCUCGCGCGGUUGGAUCGGCCGAGGUCAGAUUAGGUUGUGCUUGGGGUAAAGGCUUACCAAGCCAACGAUUUUGACAUGGUCUGAGAGGACGACCGGCCACACUGGGACUGAGACACGGCCAAGACGCCUACGGGAGGGAGCAGUGGGGAAUUUUGGACAAUGGGCGCAAGCCUGAUCCAGCAAUGCCGCGUGUAGGAAGAAGGCCUUCGGGUUGUAAACUGCUUUUGUACGGAACGAAACGGUUUUGGUUAAUACCAGGGGUUAAUGACGGUACCGGAAGAAUAAGCACCGGCUAACUACGUG
This 482-nucleotide ribosomal RNA is filed under the name uncultured bacterium. RNAcentral's name for it is "partial 16S ribosomal RNA". It matches the Rfam family "Bacterial small subunit ribosomal RNA", at positions 30 to 507 of the family's 1533-position model. The record is from RNAcentral.